GACGAACGCUGGCGGCGUGCUUAACACAUGCAAGUCGAACGGAAAGGCCCUGCUUUUGUGGGGUGCUCGAGUGGCGAACGGGUGAGUAACACGUGAGUAACCUGCCCUUGACUUUGGGAUAACUUCAGGAAACUGGGGCUAAUACCGGAUAGGAGCUCCUGCUGCAUGGUGGGGGUUGGAAAGUUUCGGCGGUUGGGGAUGGACUCGCGGCUUAUCAGCUUGUUGGUGGGGUAGUGGCUUACCAAGGCUUUGACGGGUAGCCGGCCUGAGAGGGUGACCGGCCACAUUGGGACUGAGAUACGGCCCAGACUCCGACGGGAGGCAGCAGUGGGGAAUAUUGCACAAUGGGCGGAAGCCUGAUGCAGCAACUCCGCGUGCGGGAUGACGGCCUUCGGGUUGUAAACCGCUUUCGCCUGUGACGAAGCGUGAGUGACGGUAAUGGGGAAAGAAGCACCGGCGAACUACGU
RNAcentral lists this ribosomal RNA (467 nucleotides) under uncultured bacterium. RNAcentral's name for it is "partial 16S ribosomal RNA". It matches the Rfam family "Bacterial small subunit ribosomal RNA", at positions 28 to 506 of the family's 1533-position model. The record is from RNAcentral.